GGAAGUUAUAGCUCGGUGGCAGAGCAUCAAUUUUGCAUGCAGAAGGUUCCAGGCUCGAUCCCUGGCGUUUCCG
Molecule: non-coding RNA, 73 nt
Organism: Podarcis lilfordi (Lilford's wall lizard)
Lineage: Eukaryota; Metazoa; Chordata; Lepidosauria; Squamata; Lacertidae
Source: the annotation of a GenBank genome assembly